CAAAUUUGUCAAAACUCCAUUAUCUCUCUCUCACGCUGUUCUUUUUCUUUUUCCAUCACUUUCCCCGUCAGCUUCUUCUUCAAAUCUUUCUUUUUCUGUGCACUUUAGUCCCCUUUCUCGCAUCCUUCUCGACCUACAAACUUUCUUGAGAUUAGAUUUGACUUUCAAUCACACUAGAAAUACUUCUACCUGCCAUUCGUUAUCUCUCUAAAACGUUGUCAUCGAAAUCGUUUUCUCAAAUCGCCAAAUUCACAUCCAAAACAAACCAACCGCACCACCACCGCAAUGUUUAUGCUCGUGAAUUGUUCCAACUGCCACACGCCGUUACAGCUACCUCCUGGGGCCCAGUCGAUCCGUUGCGCCAUCUGCCGCGGUGUCACACUCAUCGCAGACCCAAGAUCACUUCCUCCACCUGGAUCCUCCCACCAACCAUACCCUCCUCCAUCUUCCUCCACUGCUUCCUCUCCGUAUAAUCACGCGCCUCCUGGAGCGCCACCGCAAGUGCAUGGCCGUAAAAGAGCGCUCAUCGUUGGCGUGUCGUAUACCAAUUCAAGGCACGAGCUCAAGGGUUGUCUUAAUGACGCCAAGUGUAUGAAGUACUUGCUGAUUAACCGAUUUAAGUUCCCCGAGUCCUCAAUUGUUAUGCUCACUGAAGAAGAAACUGAUCCCUACAAGCGUCCUACUAAAUAUAACAUGAGAAUGGCAAUGUAUUGGCUUGUUCAAGGAUGUCAACCAGGUGAUUCAUUGGUGUUCCAUUAUUCUGGUCAUGGUUCGCAGCAGAGGAACUACACUGGUGAUGAGAUUGAUGGAUAUGAUGAAACUCUUUGUCCUGUGGAUUUUGAAACCCAAGGAAUGAUUGUUGAUGAUGAGAUCAAUGCAACUAUUGUGAAGCCACUUCCUCGAGGGGCCAGGCUUCAUGCAAUUAUAGAUGCUUGCCAUAGUGGAACUGUGUUAGAUUUACCAUUUCUCUGUAGAAUGGACAGAUAUGGGAAGUACAUAUGGGAGGACCAUCGUCCUCGAUCAGGAAUGUGGAAAGGCACAAGUGGUGGAGAGGCUAUAUCCUUCAGUGGCUGUGAUGACGAUCAAACCUCUGCUGAUACAUCGGCUUUAUCAAGAAUUACAUCAACAGGUGCCAUGACUUAUUCUUUCAUCCAGGCUAUUGAGCGUGGACAUGGAAAUACAUAUGGGAACAUUCUAAAUGCAAUGAGGUCAACAAUUCGACACACAGACAGUCAGAUUGAUGGUGGUGUUGUAACAACUCUAAUCACCAUGCUUUUGACAGGAGGGAGCGUUGGUGGCGGAUUGAGACAGGAACCUCAGUUGAGUUCAAAUGAACCAUUUGAUGUGUAUACAAAGCCCUUCUCCCUAUAAAUAGUGAAACGGUAUAUUUGUGGUGAAGCUCUUGAUUUGAUUCAAGCAGGUGACUGGAGAUGUGCACAGUUGUUGAGAAAACACAAUACUUUUAGGAAACCAUGAUAUGUGAUGUACGUAUUGAUGAUUACUUCUCAAGUGGGAGAGAAUGGAAGCCACAGACUUUCUGAUAGAUACAGAAAAUGUUUUCUGCAUUAUCUCAUAGGUUUGAAAUGAAGUGGCCCGUGAAAAAAAGUCAGGUCAGUUUAUGCAUGAUACGUCAUUCGGUCUUAGAAAAUGUAUCCGUCUAGUAAAUGUUUUAAACAAGCUGGUGGGUGGAGCUUGCGCCUGCAAGUCUGUAUUGAACAGGCUCACACAUCGGAUUGAAUCUGUCCAGCGUGUCAAACCUUGACUCUUCAUUCUCGAUCUUCUUCGCUAGCUCACCCAGCCUUGCUUCCAUGGUUGAUAUUCCUUCAGCCAACCCUCUGUAUCCUUGCUUCGAUGCCUCUGCAUGCCCGUCUGUUCUUUUCAUAACCGUGUAUACCAAUUUGAUGCAAACCCAAGACAAAAUUCUACUUCCUUCUAGCAAAUUCCACUUGAACAUGAAAAAGAUAAAAUCAGUCAUAAGGUUUUCCAACAGAUUCAAAACCAGAACUCGACCAUAAAAAAUGCAGUAUGUUUUAGGAAACAAAACUCAAAACAGAGGUCAAUGGAAACUAUAUAACACAAUUGUUAAAUUGGUAAACUGCUGACGAAAUUGGGGAAAAUGGAGAAUGUCUGUGUUGAUGGAAUUUUGUAUCUACAACCACAAUCUCUUGCAAAAUCACCAUAAAAAAGUAAAGAAACAAAGGAGGAACCCACUGACUUUUUGACAGGCCAGUUCUCUCUCAAAACAGAUCCCACGGUAAUCACAAAAUUCUUCUCCUUUCUUUAACCUGUCUCCCAUCUUUUUUAUUAUUUCCUCGUAACAGUUCACUGAACAGGUUAAACCAUAGGUCUAAUAACUAAUUCUAGGCUGAAAUGUUCCAAUCUAUUAUGUCAAAUUACAUCCGUUGAAAUGGUGACAUGAUAAACACAUUACUUGCAAAACACGGCUAGACACUUUGAUUAUUUUUUUGGGGUGAUUUCCGGUUGAUUAUUUUAGUUAACCCAUCAUCAUACUACACUUACAUGUAGUGUUAAUUACAUACUUUCAAGCGUUUUUCAGUUUCAUUGGUCUAAUAACGAAAGAGGUUACUUUAAGCCCAAGCAUCUUCUUGGUGUGCUCAUUUAAGUUAAUGUGUGGGUUGCAGGAUGCUCUGGACCC
This is an RNA transcript of Mangifera indica (mango), 2656 nucleotides long. It is a transcript of the gene named metacaspase-1, with no coding region annotated. The transcript has 6 exons. The record is from RefSeq and is a predicted model, not a curated record. Lineage: Eukaryota; Viridiplantae; Streptophyta; Magnoliopsida; Sapindales; Anacardiaceae.